This 484-nucleotide ribosomal RNA is filed under the name uncultured bacterium. RNAcentral describes it as "partial 16S ribosomal RNA". It matches the Rfam family "Bacterial small subunit ribosomal RNA", at positions 30 to 507 of the family's 1533-position model. The record is from RNAcentral.
AUUGUACGCUGGCGGCAGGCCUAACACAUGCAAGUCGAACGGUAGCAGGGAGCUGCUUGCUGCUUUCCUGACGGGUGGCGUACGUGAUGGCAAGGACUGGGCAUCGUCGUGGGGGAUGGGGUUAGCUACUGGGAGCUGUUGCUAAUACCGCAUUGCGGGGGAAGACGAGGGAGCGUCGGCUCCGACCCUCUCAGCAUCGCCUAGGUCGGAUUAGGUAGAUGGUGGGGUAAAGGCACACCCAGGCGACGAUCCCUAACUGGUCUGAGAGGAUGAUCAGUCACACUGGAACUGAGACACGGUCCAGACUCCUACGGGAGGCAGCAGUGGGGAAUAUUGGACAAUGGGCGAAAGCCUGAUCCAGCCAUGCCGCGUGUAUGAAGAAGGUCUUCGGAUUGUAAAGCACUUUAAGUGGGGAGGAAGGGCAGUAAGUUAAUACCUUGCCUCAUUGACGUUACCAACAGAAGAAGCACCGGCUAACUUCGUG